This 101-nucleotide non-coding RNA is filed under the name unclassified sequences. The record is from Rfam.
GCCUUAACUGUUUAGUAAGGCUUACUCUCACAUACUGUGAGGGCUGGGGAGUGGUCAUCCUCGGCAAAUAUUCAUCGGAUGCUUGACCACAUCUGGCGUCU